Homo sapiens (human) is the source of this 1670-nucleotide long non-coding RNA. The record is from Ensembl. NCBI's taxonomy places the organism in Eukaryota, Metazoa, Chordata, Mammalia, Primates, Hominidae.
AGUAACUGCAGCGAGGAAGCCACAUCAGAGGCCUCCUGCCUUCAGCAUGGGAUAGACAGGAUUGCGGAGAAGGGAGGAGUUCAGAUGGCCAGAUAAGAAUAGCUCCAGUCUGCAGCUCCCAGCAUGAUCCACGCAGAAGAUGGGUGAUUUCUGCAUUUCCAACUGAGCCUCCGCUGGUGAUACCCAGGCAAACAGGGUCUGGCAUGGACCUUCAGCAAACUCCAACCGACCUGCAGCUGAGGGACCUGUUAGAAGGAAAACUAACAAACAGAAAGGAAUAGCAUCAACAUCAACAGAAAGGACAUCCACACCAAAACCCCAUCUGUAGGUCACUAACAUCAAAGACCAAAGAGAGAUAAAACCACAAAGGUGGGGAGAAACCAGAGCAGAAAAGCUGAAAAUUCUAAAAACCAGAGCACCUCUUCUCCUUCAAAGGAUCGCAGCUCCUCACCAGCAAUGGAACAAAGCUGGAUGGAGAAUGAUUUUGAUGAGCUGAAGGCUUCAGAAGGUUGGUAAUAACAAACUUCUCUGAGCUAAAGGAGGAGGAUGUUUGAAACCAUUACAAGGAAGCUAAACACCUUGAAAAAAGAUUAGACGAAGGGCUAACUAGAAUAAGCAGUGUAGAGAAGACCUUAAAUGACGUGAUGGAGCUGAAAACCAUGGCAUGAGAACUAUGUGUUGCAUGCACAAGUUUCAAUAGCCAAUUCGAUCAAGUGGAACAAAGGGUAUCAGUGAUUGAUGAUCAAAUUAAUGAAAUAAAGGGUGAAGAGAAGUUUAGAGAAAAAAGAGUAAAAAGAAAUGAACAAAGCCUCCAAGAAAUACAAGACUACGUGAAAAGACCAAAUCUACAUUUGAUUGGUAUACCUGAAAGUGAUGGGGAGAAUGGAACCAAGUUGGAAAACACUCUUCAGGAUAUUAUCCAGGAGAACUUCCCCAACCUAGCAAGGCAGGUCAACAUUCAAAUUCAGGAAAUACAGAGAACACCACAAAGAUACUCCUUGAGAAGAGCAGCCUCAAGACACAUAAUCAUCAGAUUCACCAAGGUUGAAAUGAAGGAAAAAAUGUUAAGGCCAGCCAGAGAGAAAGGUCGGGUUACCCACAAAGGGAAGCCCAUCAGAUUAACAGGAGAUCUCUCAGCAGAAACUCUACAAGCCAGAAGAGAGUGGGGGCCGAUAUUUAACAUUCUUAAAGAAAAGAAUUUUCAACCCAGAAUCACAUAUCCAGCCAAACUAAGUUUCAUAAGUGAAGGAGAAAUAAAAUCCUUUACAGACAAGCAAAUGCUGAGAGAUUUUGUCACCACCAGGCCUACCUUACAAGAGCUCCUGAAAGAAGCACUAAACAUGGAAAGGAACAACCAGUACCAGCCACUGCAAAAUCAUGCCAAAUUGUAAAGACCAUCGAUGCUAGGAAGAAACUAUAUCAACUAACGGGCAAAAUAACCAGUUAACAUCAUAAUGACAGGAUCAAAUUCACAUAUAAUAAUAUUAACCUUAAAAGUAAAUGGGCUAAAUGCGCGAAUUAAAAGACACAGACUGGCAAAUUGGAUAAAGAGUCAAGACCCAUUAGUGUGCUGUAUUCAGGAGACCCAUCUCAUGUGCAGAGACACACAUAGGCUCAAAAUAAAGGGAUGGAGGGAGAUCUACCAAGCAAAUUGAAAGCAAAAAAAAAAA